RNAcentral lists this long non-coding RNA (1106 nucleotides) under Calidris pygmaea (Spoon-billed sandpiper). RNAcentral's name for it is "lncRNA (ENSCPGG00000014112.1)". The record is from RNAcentral. Lineage: Eukaryota; Metazoa; Chordata; Aves; Charadriiformes; Scolopacidae.
AUGGGAAAGCAAGUUUCUCCUUUAACAAUAUUUACAGCCUUGUGCCUCUGUAAACUCCACACAGGUCCCCUUGUUCCUGCAGUUAAAGUCAAGAGGCAUGAAAUAAAGAGUGACCCAACUCCCCUGGGGUUUGAAGAUGCUUUUGAGAACACCAUUUUGGCCCAGACUAAAUGUAAUACCGGUUCCGCCACGAGGCCCGUCCCUAGAUCUGCUUCACAGACAGGCUGGCCCGGCAGGCAGAUGCCAUCUCUAGACACCUUUGAAGAUUUUGAAGCCAUCCCCUCCAGCACGGACGAGCUCUCCAACUCCUCUGACUUGGAGGAAGAGACCAACCCCAACAAUGUAAUUCCUUUUCCAAAUUACGCUGCCCUUUCCCAGGGCGACCUCCUCCUCGCUAAAGAUCACGGUGUGAGCUCCACGGCUCGGGGUCACACCAGCCUUAGACUCGUGGGUGUGGGGGAACACGGGUGGCAAUUUGACCUGGGGUGUUGGGGGAUUAUCCCAAGGCUAUUUUGUUGAUCAGGAUCAGGGCCAUAAAAAGGCACCUUUACUCAUAAGCUGUAGCUUUACUUCUUGUAAAGGGGAGGGAAAACUCUGAGCCCUUAAAAAAGUAAUUUCAGACUUUUCCAGGAAACUUAACCUGGUGUCACAAACCCCGUUUCUCUGUCAGAAUAAUGGCUGGUGGGUUCAUUCUAAAGCCUGAAUGCACAGCACAGCUCUGUCCUAAAUUUGAAUAAUAUUUAACCUGGGCAUGAUAAAAGGAAUAAGAAGUGGCACAGAACAAAUCUCUGCCAGCUUGAAAUGCCUCACUCAGUAUUUGACUGACCUCGCCCUCUCUUUCAUCCAUAGUGACUGUAUUUCUGGUGCAUUCUCUCGUUCAUUUUAGGGGACCAAUCUCUUUCGGGUCGAAGGCAGCUUUGACAGCUGUUUCCCGGAUUCUCUGACCCUGGAGGACGGAGAUUUAGUGCAGUUUGUGCAGGAAGGAGAGAACGGUCAGUGGUGAGUACCGCAGAGAGAGAGGAUUUGACAGGCAGAGCAGCCAUAACCCCCUGGAAAAGGCGGAAAAUAUUCAGAAGGAUGUCAAAGCCUCUUCAAAAUCAAUCCAG